This 284-nucleotide ribosomal RNA is filed under the name Eubacterium coprostanoligenes. RNAcentral describes it as "partial 16S ribosomal RNA". It matches the Rfam family "Bacterial small subunit ribosomal RNA", at positions 494 to 776 of the family's 1533-position model. Lineage: Bacteria; Bacillati; Bacillota; Clostridia; Eubacteriales; Eubacteriaceae. The record is from RNAcentral.
UAUUUUCCUUUUUUUCCCUCAGCCGCGGUAAUACGUAGGUGGCAAGCGUUGUCCGGAAUUACUGGGUGUAAAGGGAGCGCAGGCGGGUGAUCAAGUCAGCUGUGAAAACUACGGGCUUAACCCGUAGACUGCAGUUGAAACUGUUCAUCUUGAGUGAAGUAGAGGUUGGCGGAAUUCCGAGUGUAGCGGUGAAAUGCGUAGAUAUUCGGAGGAACACCGGUGGCGAAGGCGGCCAACUGGGCUUUAACUGACGCUGAGGCUCGAAAGUGUGGGGAGCAAACAGG